UUGGAGGGCAAGUCUGGUGCCAGCAGCCGCGGUAAUUCCAGCUCCAAUAGCGUAUAUUAAAGUUGUUGCAGUUAAAAAGCUCGUAGUUGAAUUUCGGGAUUUGUCAGUUGGUCGGGCUUCACUGUCCGUAUUGACUUGAUGGAUUCUUAUCUUCUGAAUAACCAGCAUGCUAUUAAGUUAGUGCGUUGGGGAAGCAGAUCUAUUACCUUGAAAAAAUUAGAGUGCUUAAAGCGAGCUAGUGCUUGAAUAGAUUAGCAUGGAAUAAUAAAAUAGGACGGCAUGGUUCUAUUUUGUUGGUUUCUAGGAUCACCGUAAUGAUUAAUAGGGAUAGUUGGGGGCAUUAGUAUUCAAUUGUCAGAGGUGAAAUUCUUGGAUUUAUUGAAGACUAACUUCUGCGAAAGCAUUUGCCAAGGAUGUUUUCAUUAAUCAAGAACGAAAGUUAGGGGAUCGAAGACGAUCAGAUACCGUCGUAGUCUUAACCAUAAACUAUGCCGACUAGGAAUCGGACGAUGUUAAUUUUAUAAUGACUCGUUCGGCGCCUUACGGGAAAC
Molecule: ribosomal RNA, 551 nt
Filed under: uncultured Acaulospora
Lineage: Eukaryota; Fungi; Glomeromycota; Glomeromycetes; Diversisporales; Acaulosporaceae
Description: SSU rRNA
Rfam family: Eukaryotic small subunit ribosomal RNA
Source: RNAcentral